Molecule: long non-coding RNA, 3536 nt
Organism: Homo sapiens (human)
Lineage: Eukaryota; Metazoa; Chordata; Mammalia; Primates; Hominidae
Product: long intergenic non-protein coding RNA 964
Source: Ensembl
GCCAAUUUCCACCCUCUCUCUGGAAACUGUCAUUAGGGUUAGGGAAACUGUCAUGAGAUCUGCAUAUUUUAGAUAGAGGCUGCUUGCCUUAUUUGGGCACCUAAUGAAAAAGACAUGGAGGCCAGGUGCGGUGGCUCAUGUCUGUAAUCCCAGCACUUUGGGAGGCCAAGGCGAGUGGAUCACCUGAGGUCAGGAGUUCGAGACCAGCCUGACCAACAUGGCAAAACCCCGUCUGUACUAAAAGUGCAAACACAAAGGGAACUGCGUGGCUUGUUUCUACCUGAACAUUGUCAAGUGAUUUCAUCCUUUGAAACACAGUUGUGAAGUGUGUCCAGCAGUCUGAGAACAAGAAGAAGAAGAAAAUCUAAUCCUUCAGGGUGUCUGUGUGCCAGCCCUGCUCUCAGCACUUCCCAUGUGGAACUCCUUUACUUCUCCUAACAACUCCAUGACAUGGGUUAGACUGUGAUUGUUCCCAUAUUGUUGGUAGGGAAACUGAGGCAUGCAGGUGUUACAGAGCUCUCUCAAGUGGCAAGCUUUCUGGGUGGUUACAGAGUGGCAGAGCUGGGGUAUCCCAUGAUGUCACCACACUGCUAUAUGGAAAAGAACAUUAAUCGAGCACCUACGUGCUUGAUUCUCUUAAUUCUGUGACUGAACUCUCAAAACACCCUGGGUUGGUUUCCUUUUUACAACUGCCCAAGUCAUGAGUUCAUAGGGCCUGGAUGGCUGUACCGGAUUGCUCUCCAGCUGGUCUCUCUGCAUCCAGAAAUUUCUACAACCUACUGGGGUAAAAUCUUUCUCAACCCUGCUUUUCAUCAUCACAUCUUAAAUAUCUCGAGUUGGUUCCCUAUUGCCAAAAAAAAUCCAUUGUCCAUGUAGGGUUCUUCUGCCGAAACGAGGAAAGAGUGAGUUAAAUGUUGGUAGGUGAUAUAGAGAUAGUAAUUAGGCAAUAUAAUUCGAUGUUGUUGAAAGAGCUGAGCUAUGAAAUGCAUUGUGAUAAAGGGGCUGCCUGUGUAAGUAAAUGGGUAUAAUGAGGUGUAAAACUCCCUUUCUCUCUCUCUUUCUGCUUCAUAAGCCUUUCUGCUUCUCAAGUCCAGACCUGCUGUUUUUGGGGUUUCCUUCCAAUUUUUUUGCUGCUUCCCUGGGGCCUUGGCUCUUGGGCCUGCUGCCUCUUCCCACUCUACACCUUUGGAUUCCUUAUCUUUGGCUCCACCUUAUUGCUCCAUUCUCCAAAGACAAAUCCACAAGGCAUAGGAUUUUACAGAAUAUGGGGUUACAGAAACAGCAUAGGGAAGUGUAAAAGCCUAGAAGCUUCUUACAGACGCAGCCCCUUGUCUGUAGCUCCUGACUCCCACUUAAAUGUCUGUUGGAAGCACCCUGGGGUAGCAGAACCCAGCUCAGAAGAUGGGGCUUAUCCACCAUGCCUUUUCCUAACCUGACACCCACCCAGAUAAUCUUUUCAAUAUGCAAACUAGAGCGUAUCACCCCCUGCUCAGAGCCUUUCUGUGACCUCCCAUUUUGCUUCCCAGGACUCCUUGCUCCUUAGCCAGGUCUCCAGGUCCUCCGUGAUCAGGUCUCUGCUCUUCUGCAGCCUCAUCUCUGCCAUUCUUCACCUUUUGUGCUCCAACCCAAUCUGGUUUUCUUCUCAUGCUUUGAACACCCCAAGUCUGUCUGCUUCAGGAGCUUCGUACUGGCUAAUCAUUCACCACAGCAUACUCCCAUCUAUACGGCUGGCUCUUAUAUUAUGGGUCUCAGCUAAAAUGUCAUCCCUUCAAAGAGACCUUCUUGGACCACCCCCGCCAUUCUCUAUCCUAUUUCUCUCUUUUAUUUUCUUUGAAGCACUUACCCACUUUCAGAAACUAUCUGGCUUGCUCAUGUGUUUGUCUCUAGAUUGUCUACUUCCCCUCCUAGACUGUACUCUCCACAAGAGAGCAAAGCUGUGUCUGUUGCAUUCACUGUUGUCUUCCCAGAAGCAAGCAGCAUGCUGGAGACCCUCAAAUACAUGUGAAAUGAAGGGACACCUUGUGUUAUUUCACCUGUUUCCACCUGGUUCCCAAGUGGCAAGCUUGCAUUGAGGUUACAAAGUGGCAAAGCUGGGAUAUCACAUGAUGUCACCAUGAUGCUAUAUGAAAUGUAACAUUAAUUGAGUACCUAUGUGACCAGUUCUUUAAUUCUGUAAGUGAACUCUCAAAAAACCCUAGGUAAGUAUUAUCAACUCGAACUUUAACGGAUGAGGAAACUGGAAUUUUUUAAAAAAUGACUUAACCAAACAUCACAGAGCUGUAAACCAGGAUUUGAAUGGGUGAGCUGCACUCAGCCUUCAUCUCAAGUCAGUUUGCCUCUUUCUCCAAGAAGCCACAGUUGAUCCUGACCACAUCACAUAUGAGUUGCCUGGAUUGCAGUCAUUCAUUCACUAAGCAUCUUUUAGGAGGUCACAUGCCAGGCACCGUGUUAGGUAAUGAUUUCUCCAAGUCACAGGAGCCGUGGUUCUGACUUUAGAAAGUUUCUCAUCUGAUGGGAGGGCAGGCAAGUAAAUCAGUAAGGGUGGUCCCUGUCGGGACACUGGUUGAGAAAUACCCAGGAACACUCUGAUUGAGAAAUACCCAAAGUGCAAAGUGACAGGGACUAGAGGCAUCUCCACUGGACCAGAGAGCUCUGGAUUCGUCUUGAGCUAAGUCUCUGGAGGUAGGUGUCAGCUACAAGGAGAAAAGCUGUAUAUUUUGAGAUAUGGGAUGCAGGGCCUUUUAGUUCCAUAAAUAAGAGAACUAUGGUGUGAAUACCACAUGCCCUGGGCUGAACUAAGUGGGCUCUAGGGGAAGGUAUACUGGGCAGGGAGUUUGGAGAACUGGUUUCUGUCUAAUCCUUCUCUAACUCUGUGACCUUGAAUGCAUCAUUUCCCCUCUGAGUCUCAGAUUCUCUUUCUGGCUGGCAUUUAAUGAAACCUAAAUAUUCUAGACCUUCUACUUGUUCCAUAAGUGCUCAGUCCUACACUCACUCUCCUCUGGCACCAAUAUACUGAUUACUCAUUUUAUGCCCAGCAGAGCACUGCGUGUUUUGAAAUAUACAAAUAGUGGGAAACGAAAUCUUUGUUCUGGAUGCAGUUAUAAUUUGGAAAGCGAGGAAAUAAAUUAUAACAAGGGGAAAAAACAGACACAGAGGGAUUGAAAUGCAUAACAAUAGAGAUGAAACACGAAGAGUGAUAAAUGAAGAUUGAGUGUGCACACCUUCUGGAGGAGCCCUGAUUGAGUAUUUUAAAAUACUACUAAAGUCAUGCCGUGUGACUUCUGAAGCUAGCUCCUAAGAAGUCCUUGCAGCUUCUGCCUGCGACUCUUAGAACACUUGCUUUGAAGGAUGCCAGAUGCUGUCUUAAAAGUCUGAGCACUCUGAAACCAUCAUGCUGUGAGGAAGCCCAAGCUAACCACAUGGGCAAAAAAGAUGCCCUCUGACUGCCACCAUUUGAGACACUCUAAUUAAGAACUGCCUCAUUGAGCCCAUGAGGCCCUGUGAAUGAUAAUAAUAAAUUGUUUUUAACCACUAUG